This 87-nucleotide transfer RNA is filed under the name Teilingia granulata. RNAcentral describes it as "tRNA-Ser". It matches the Rfam family "tRNA". From Rfam's summary of the family: Transfer RNA (tRNA) molecules are approximately 80 nucleotides in length. Their secondary structure includes four short double-helical elements and three loops (D, anti-codon, and T loops). The record is from RNAcentral. Lineage: Eukaryota; Viridiplantae; Streptophyta; Zygnematophyceae; Desmidiales; Desmidiaceae.
GGAGAGAUGGCCGAGCGGUUGAAGGCUCUAGUCUUGAAAACUAGCGUGGUUUUACGAUCACCAAGGGUUCGAAUCCCUUUCUCUCCG